This is an RNA transcript of Marmota flaviventris (yellow-bellied marmot), 2811 nucleotides long. It is a transcript of the gene named ribonuclease H2 subunit B, with no coding region annotated. Lineage: Eukaryota; Metazoa; Chordata; Mammalia; Rodentia; Sciuridae. The record is from RefSeq and is a predicted model, not a curated record.
CCUACCACUGGUGGAGAAGCGCAGGGGAGAGGCGAGCGUCUCUUCCCCGGCCUCGCGCCGCUGAUCCGGGCGCCUCGGCCUGGCGCUAAAUUUAAAAACGUAGCGCGAGCGAGCGCAGUUUGGUCCCGGAAACGAAACCGAAUUCAACCAGUGGGUCGUCUCCUGGGCUCGGCCAGUCCCUUAGCGCGCCGCGCCACCCGGAGUAGACCCUCCUCCCGCCAUUUCCGGCGGGGCGCGGGGACGGGGGCCUGUGGCUACGGGUUUGUGGCCGCGCGCGCGUCCCGGAGGAGGCGGGCGCUAUGGCCACGCGCGUGGACUGCGGGGACGGGGCUCGCGCCCGGCAGCACGUAUUCCUGGUUCCAGAAUAUUUAAAAGAUGCUUCAAAGAAGACGAAAAGUGGCCUGAUGUUUGUAAAAUUGGUUAACCCUUGUUCAGGGGAAGGAGCCAUUUACUUGUUCAAUAUGUGUCUACACCAGCUGUUUGAAAUCAAAGUUUUCAAGGAAAAGCACCACUCUUGGUUUAUAAAUCAGUCAGUUCAAUCAGGAGGUCUCCUGCACUUCGCCACACCCAUGGACCCCCUGUUUUUGCUCCUCCACUACCUCAUACUGGCCAACAAACAGGGAAAGUUUCAGCCUCUAGAUCAGGUGGUGGUGGAUGAUGCAUUUCCGAAUUGUGUCUUGUUGCUGAAACUUCCUGAACUUGAGAAAGUACUUCACCACGUGACAGAGGAAAAAGAAAUAGGCAACAAGAAAUAUUACAAGUAUAGCAAAGAGAAGACAUUGAAGUGGCUGGAAAAAAAGGUUAAACAAACUGUGGCAGCAUUAAAAACCAAUAAUGUCACUGUCAGUGCUCGGGUGCAGUCAUCUGCAUUUUUCUCUGGUAACCAGGUUUUGAGUGACAAGGAAGAGGAUUACAUUCGUUAUGCCCAUGGUCUGAUAUCUGAUUAUAUCCCUAAAGAAUUAAGUGAUGAUUUAUCCAAAUAUCUAAAGCUUCCAGAACCUUCAGCUCCAAUGCCAAACCCUCCAUCAAAGAACAGAGAGGCACAUUCAUCACUAAACAAGAUAAUGUCACCUCUCCAAAUGGAUAAUACCACAUCUGUGCCCGCCAAUUCUCCUUUGGGCUGCAUCUUAAAUAAUUGGGAUGCUUUUAAGGCUGACAGUCUAAAUAAAAGCAGACUAACUUUUCUUUGCAACAUGGCAUGGCCUCAAUACAAAUUGAAAAGUAGGGAGAUUUGGCCAGAAAAUGGGACCUUAAAAUUGAACACUAUCUUGCAGCCGGAUCUCUUUUGCAAACAAGAGGAGAAAUGGACAGAAGUACCUUAUGUCCAGGUCUUUAUGGUCUUAUACCAGGACCCAAAACUUAAGGGUCUCUGUAAAAUACACAAUGACCAUUUUCCUUUAACUAAAGUCCAGGAAGAAAGUGCUCCCCUAGAGGAUGCACUUUUGAGUGGUGGCCUUAGAAUGCCAUGUGGGCCCUCCCCAUUGAAAGCCUGCCACUCCCCCCAGACUGUAAUCCCAUGGGUUUCUCAGCCUAAUCUGUCCCAUCUGGUCUACCUAUCAGCCCACCUUCUCAUCAACUCUCAAACCCCCCUCUAUCCAAGGGGAGCGGCCCUACAGGGGAGUGCUGAGAACCGUAUCCCUUCAUGGGGACCCCCAGCUCUCCAGUCUUCAUCCACUUGAGGAAGUCUCAAAUGGAGAAGGGGAAAUCAUGGGAAUAUAUGAUCAUUUUGUUCUGUCAAACUUGGCUCAAUGCAAACAGAAGUUAGGAAAUUUUUCAGAGGAUCCAAACCAAUUUAUAGAUGAAUUUCAGGCCCUGACUCUGACCUUUAAUCUCAGUUGGUCUGACCUACAUGUAGUGUUGUCCACCUGCUGCACUCUUGAAGAAAAGGAUAGUAUUUUGUAUGAAGCUCGGGCACAAGCAGGUAGCCUGACUUUAACCAACCACUAGGGGAUAUAGCCAUACCCCGUGAGGACCCUAACUGGAAUCAUCAACCAGAACACAUCAGCCUUGUUAGGCGUAACCACAUGAUAACUUGUCUUAUCGAAGGAUGAAAAAGUAUAAGGAAAAGGAAAAAUGUGAUAAUUUUGGAAGGUAAAACAGGAAAAAGAUGAAAAUCCUUUAUUGUUUUUAAAUCAGCUAACUGAGGCCUUCCAGAAAUACUCUUCUGUUGAUCCUGACUCUGUGGAUGGGCAAGUGGUAUUAGGGAUAUUUUUCACCUACCAGUCAACCCCAUACAUCAAAAAAGAGAUUCAAAAGAAGGCCUUGAACCAGUUCUUGUCCUUGAAGGAGCUGAAAGAUUUGGCCCCUCUGGCAUUCCACAGAGAAAGAAAGGAAAAGUUUAGGAGGUCCCAGAGGAGAUGGCAACAGGCUAGAGAACAAGCCCAACUAAUUUCAUUUGGUAUGAGAAGCACCUUGCAAUCUCAAGGUGACCCUAGAGGCAGAUGUAGCCCAAAGGGGAAAAACUGGAGACCUGACAGAUGUUUCAGGUAUGGAGAAUCUGGACACUGGAGGAAAAAUUGUCCUAAACAGUGACCACCUCAACCUGGUUUUGUCCCCUAUGUAAUGGGGGAAAAACAAUGGGAGUGAGACUGCCCUUGCCUCCAAAGGGAAGCUGGGAUGGACAUCCUCUCCUAUGAUGAGUGCCCUUGAGGACUGAAUGUAUCCAAGGUUUCAUAUUGUCCCCAUUGGCCAGCUGGACUUCACUCAGGAAGAGUCUCAGGUGACUCUUGACAUGGCAGAAACUAAAGUUAUCAGAUGAGCCUGUAGAAGCAAAAGAAGAUUACACUAAGUUUAACACAAAAGAUUUCAAGA